RNAcentral lists this ribosomal RNA (253 nucleotides) under uncultured bacterium. Its description in RNAcentral is "partial 16S ribosomal RNA". It matches the Rfam family "Bacterial small subunit ribosomal RNA", at positions 524 to 776 of the family's 1533-position model. The record is from RNAcentral.
UACGGAGGGUGCAAGCGUUGCUCGGAAUUAUUGGGCGUAAAGGGUAGGUAGGUGGUCUCAUUUGUCUGAGGUGAAAGCCUUGAGCUUAACUCAAGAAGUGCCUCGGAAACGGUGAGACUAGAGUCCUGGAGAGGGUCGUGGAAUUCCCGGUGUAGCGGUGAAAUGCGUAGAGAUCGGGAGGAACACCAGAGGCGAAGGCGGCGACCUGGACAGGCACUGACACUCAACUACGAAAGCGUGGGGAGCAAACAGG